GGAUUGAAUUUCCAUGCAGGAGUAUUGGCUUUGGCAAGCAAGUAAAGGACAAAAUAAGAGGAUAUUCAAAGUUCCCAGAGUUUGAUGGUAGUAAGUUAGAUGUAACAAAUAGGAAUUCAUGGCCUACUGUAUGCAUGUAUGUGCUAAAAGAAGAAAAAACCCGGGGAAUCACUUAAUAAGAAAUUCUAACUAUCUAUUGUUCUCAAAGUACCACAGAAGAAAUAGAAUGAAAUGGUUAACUAAGAAUUAUAGAAUGAAAAAGCUGAGUAAUAAACAAGGAUUGGUUUGCUAUUUAUGAUGACGAAGAGCUGGUACAAGCCUCCUUCAGGAAAUGACCCUGCGAUGAAUGCAAUCUACAUUCUUCCAAGAUGGUAUAUGACAGAAAGAAAGUGGUGCGAUGAAUUAGUAUCAUUUACUAGUCAUUCUAAAACCGUUCCAAUUCAUUUCACAUUUCAUUACCUAGAGCCUGAGAGGGGUCACUGCUGAGAGGGUUCAUACUAUACCUAUUACUAUGGAUGCUUCAUCUAGCGCAUACCAAAUCAAGCCAGCCGGGUAUCAUAGGAGACAGGGGAAAAAGCACUUUCAAAUGAUGAACUUGCU
This 600-nucleotide long non-coding RNA is filed under the name Oryza brachyantha (malo sina). RNAcentral describes it as "long non-coding RNA (OBRA_LNC003490)". Lineage: Eukaryota; Viridiplantae; Streptophyta; Magnoliopsida; Poales; Poaceae. The record is from RNAcentral.